GACGAACGCUGGCGGCGUGCUUAACACAUGCAAGUCGAACGAUGAACCCGGAGCUUGCUCCGGCGGAUUAGUGGCGAACGGGUGAGUAACACGUGAGUAACCUGCCCUUGACUCUGGGAUAACUGCGGGAAACUGUAGCUAAUACCGGAUACGACCCUCGGCGGCAUCGCCAGGGGGUGGAAAGAAUUUCGGUCAAGGAUGGACUCGCGGCCUAUCAGCUAGGUGGUGAGGUAACGGCUCACCAAGGCGACGACGGGUAGCCGGCCUGAGAGGGUGACCGGCCACACUGGGACUGAGACACGGCCCAGACUCCUACGGGAGGCAGCAGUGGGGAAUAUUGCACAACGGGCGGAAGCCUGAUGCAGCAACGCCGCGUGCGGGAUGACGGCCUUCGGGUUGUAAACCGCUUUCGCCUGUGACGAAGCGUGAGUGACGGUAAUGGGUAAAGAAGCACCGGCUAACUACGUGCCAGCCGCCGCCGUAA
Molecule: ribosomal RNA, 484 nt
Filed under: uncultured bacterium
Lineage: Bacteria
Description: partial 16S ribosomal RNA
Rfam family: Bacterial small subunit ribosomal RNA
Source: RNAcentral